AGUAGUUUGAUCAGUGGCUCGAGGACGACGCUGGCGGCGUGCCUAACACAUGCAAGUCGAACGAAGCAUUUGGAUCUGAUCUCUUCGGAGUGACGAACCUUAUGACUUAGUGGCGGACGGGUGAGUAACACGUGAGCAACCUGCCUCUCAGAGUGGAAUAACAGUUGGAAACGGCUGCUAAUACCGCAUAACGUCAUAGUACCGCAUGAUACCUUGACCAAAGAUUUAUCGCUGAGAGAUGGGCUCGCGUCCGAUUAGGUAGAUGGUGGGGUAACGGCCUACCAUGCCGACGAUCGGUAGCCGGACUGAGAGGUUGAUCGGCCACAUUGGGACUGAGACACGGCCCAGACUCC
RNAcentral lists this ribosomal RNA (353 nucleotides) under uncultured Ruminococcus sp. RNAcentral's name for it is "bacterial SSU rRNA". It matches the Rfam family "Bacterial small subunit ribosomal RNA", at positions 1 to 339 of the family's 1533-position model. The record is from RNAcentral. Lineage: Bacteria; Bacillati; Bacillota; Clostridia; Eubacteriales; Oscillospiraceae.